UGGGGAAUAUUGCACAAUGGGCGCAAGCCUGAUGCAGCCAUGCCGCGUGUGUGAAGAAGGCCUUCGGGUUGUAAAGCACUUUCAGCGAGGAGGAAGGUGGUGAACUUAAUACGUUCAUCAAUUGACGUUACUCGCAGAAGAAGCACCGGCUAACUCCGUGCCAGCAGCCGCGGUAAUACGGAGGGUGCAAGCGUUAAUCGGAAUUACUGGGCGUAAAGCGCACGCAGGCGGUUUGUUAAGUCAGAUGUGAAAUCCCCGGGCUCAACCUGGGAACUGCAUUUGAAACUGGCAAGCUAGAGUCUCGUAGAGGGGGGUAGAAUUCCAGGUGUAGCGGUGAAAUGCGUAGAGAUCUGGAGGAAUACCGGUGGCGAAGGCGGCCCCCUGGACGAAGACUGACGCUCAGGUGCGAAAGCGUGGGGCAGCAAACAGGAUUAGAUACCCUGGUAGUCCACGCUGUAAACGAUGUCGAUUUGGAGGUUGUGCCCUUGAGGCGUGGCUUCCGGAGCUAACGCGUUAAAUCGACCGCCUGGGG
RNAcentral lists this ribosomal RNA (532 nucleotides) under uncultured bacterium. RNAcentral's name for it is "partial 16S ribosomal RNA". It matches the Rfam family "Bacterial small subunit ribosomal RNA", at positions 355 to 878 of the family's 1533-position model. The record is from RNAcentral.